CGAUCCCCACCAUGGAUUCUUUGGAUGGUAUAAAAGCUCCCUGGUAUUUUUUUUCCCCCCUAUUAUCCAUUUUAUUUAUUUACUUUGUUCUUGGCGCACCCUGUAAUUGUUGUUUCCUGUUUUUCAAGUAUUUAUGUGUGUGUCUGUCAGUGAGUAUGUGUCUGUCAGCAAGUAUAUGUGUGUGUGUUUGUAUGUGUGAGUGUGUGUGUGUCAGUGUGUUUGUCUGUCAGUGAGUGUGUGCGUGUGUGUGUGUCUGUCAACACGUGUGUCUGUCAGUGUGUCUGUGAGUAUGUGUGUGUCUGUCUGAGUAUGUGUGUGUGUCUGUAUGUGUCUGUG
This is a non-coding RNA of Pelobates cultripes (western spadefoot toad), 336 nucleotides long. The record is from the annotation of a GenBank genome assembly. NCBI's taxonomy places the organism in Eukaryota, Metazoa, Chordata, Amphibia, Anura, Pelobatidae.